AGGGUUGAAAAUCUAAGAAAUUUAAGAGUGAUGAUGUGGAUUACCCAAUAUUGGUCUGCACAGACCUUGUUGCUAUGGGACUGGACUUGGAUGUAGAUCAUGUUAUCAUGUUUGAUUUCCCUCUGAACUCUAUUGACUACCUCCACGCACUGGAAGAACUGCUCGUAUGGGUGCAAAAGUGACAAGUUUGGUGGCUAAAAGAGACCAGAUGUUGGCUAUACAAAUUGAGGAGGCUAUAAGGAAGAACGAGAGCUUGGAGUAUCUUACUGCAGAUAAUGUUUGUAGGGAUGUUGCUAGAGCUCGAAUAAUGCAAGAGAAGGGAAAGAGUGUGAAACUAAUUAAAGCCUCGAGUGAGAAAAACAAGACUGCAAUAGUGAAACCUCCUACUGUUCACAAGAAGGUUGUGCCUUCCAAGUCAUCAGGAAGAAAGUCCUCUGUUGUGAAAUCUGUGAAAGUACCAGCUCCAUCAGAAUCUUCCAAGAGAAUAGUGAAGGUGUCAAAAUCUGCCAAGCUCCCCACUGCCGGUAACUAAAAACGGGGAACUUGGGGUCAGAGGGACGAGGCAGAUGGCAGAAAUGCCGGUUGAGCUUCAAAA
This is an RNA transcript of Carica papaya (papaya), 595 nucleotides long. It is a transcript of the gene named DEAD-box ATP-dependent RNA helicase 39-like, with no coding region annotated. The record is from RefSeq and is a predicted model, not a curated record. Lineage: Eukaryota; Viridiplantae; Streptophyta; Magnoliopsida; Brassicales; Caricaceae.